AGUACUGCAGUGUGCGGCGCAUGGCUGCGAGGGCCUGCCGAGGGGCGGGCGCGAGUCGGAAAGACACCGACCAGGGAAUGGGCGACGAGGCUUGCCUUAAUUCGGAGGAAACCCAGGACUUGAGAGAGCCAUACAAUUUGAAAGACGAAGCACCGUGAAAUGCAGAAAGUUGUGGUUCGGAUAGCUCAGCUGAUUAAUUUCAUGUUGCCACAGUUUGUCAACGGAGUUUCGCUCUUGUUGCCUAGGCUGGAGUGCAAUGGCGUGAUCUCGGCUCACCGCAACCUCUACCUCCCGGGUUGAAGCGAUUCUCCUGCUUCAGCCUCCCGAGUAGCUGGGAUUACAGGCAUGUGCCACCACACCUGGCUAAUUUUGUAUUUUUAGUAGAGACAGGGUUUCUCCAUGUUGGUCGGGCUGGUCUCGACCUCCCGACAUCACGUGAUCUGCCCGCCUCAGCAUCCGAAAGUGCUGGGAUUACAGAUGUGACCUAUCGUGCCCAGCCGCUAAACCUCAUCUUUAAAAAAGAAGAACAAAAUAGAACAUGGACAAGAUGGCUGGGGUCCUGUGGAGUUCUAGUAAUCUUCUUACGAUAAUAAAGCAACCUUAUGCCAUAUGAUAUGCUAAGGAUGGAGGAAGAUAGAGUCUAGGUGCCUGAUGACAACAUGGAGCUGUCAAGCCCUGCAUUGCCUCCCCCUGGACGUCUCAUUAUGGGAGAAAAUGAAGCAAUUUGUUUAAGCCACACUGAUCUUUUUUCCUAUUUUUCUUUUUCUUUUGUUGAGUGUGUGUUUGUGUCUGUUAUUUACAGCUGAUUGUAAGUCAUAACUGAUGUGGUAGUGGGACUGUGUAAGUUUUGUCUUCUGAUGUUUUUCUUUUUUUUUUUCUUCUUCAGUGAAACAGGGAUGGGGAGAUCAUUAGCUAAAUGUAAGGAUUGGGGAAGGAGUGUGGGAGGUUUGUGGAGAGAGAAUGUGUGAAAUGUGGGAAGUUUGUGGAGAGAGAAUUUGUGAAAUAGUUAUCUCUGAAUGGUAGAGUAAAUUAAGUAGGGAGAGGUAGUAGGUCAUUCAGACAUCUGUGGUUGUAAAUAUAAAAUGAGAUCAGUCAUCUGGGUUGUAUUUUUCCCUAGUCAGGUUUACCUGCUCAGGAGAAGGUAUAAACCUGAUAGUGAAUUGGGUUUAACCAGGAUUUAUAUUUUGCUAAAGCCAUUGUGUCACCAUUUGUGAAAUAGAAGAAGAUACUGUAGAGUCACUAAGAAGACAGUUGACUGAAUGGAUUUAUAAAAACAUGUAGCCGGGCACAGUGGCUCAUGCCUGUAAUCCCAGCACUUUGGGAGGCCGAGGCGGGCAGAUCACGAGGUGAGGAGAUCGAGACCAUCUUGGCUAACACGGUGAAACCCCCUCUCUACUAAAGAAAAAAAAAAAAAUUAGCCGGGCGUGGUGGCAGGCGCCUGUAGUCCCAGCUACUCAGAAGGCUGAGGCAGGAGAAUGAUGUGAACCCAGGAGGUGGAGCUUGCAGUGAGCCAAGAUCACGCCACUGCACUACAGCCUGGGUGACAGAGCGAGACUCUGUCUCAAAAAUAAAUAAAUAAAUAAAUAAAAUAAAUAAAAAUAUAUACAAACAUGUAAUUGCUGGCCAGGCAUGGUGGCUCACGCCUGUAAUCCUAGCACUUUGGGAGACUGAGGCGGUGGAUUGCCUGAGCUCAGGAGUUUGAGACCAGCCUGGGCAACACGGUGAAACCCCAUCUCUACUGAAAUACAAAAAAUUAGCCAGGCGUAGUGGCAUGUGCCUUUAGUCCCAGCUACUUGGGAGGCUGAGGCAGGAGAAUUGCUUGAACCUGGGAGGUGGAGGUUGCAGUGAGCCAAGAUCGUGCCACUGCAUUCCAGCCUGGGCAACAGAGUAAGACUCUGUCUCAAAAAAAGAAACAAACAAACAAAAAACAUGUAAUUAAUAAAAGCAGUAGACUUGAAAGCAAAACUUUACACAUAUUUUUUGAAUAGGUAAAGUUCCCAUGGUUCAAACAUUGAAGAGGUAAAAAGAUACACAGACAUACCUUACUUUAUUGCACUUCACUUUACUGAACUUGUUUUGUUUUGUUUUGUUUUUCUUUUGAGACAGUUUCGCUCUUGUUGCCCAGGCUGGAGUACAGUCGUGUGAUCUCGGCUCACUGCAACCUCUGCCUCCUGGGUUCAAUCUCUUCUCCUGCCUCAGCCUCCCAAGUAGCUGGGACUACAGGCACUUGCCACCACGCCCGGCUAAUUUUUGUAUUUUUGGUAGAGACAGUGUUUCACCACGUUGGCCAGGCUGGUCUCGAACUUCUGACCUCAAGUGAUCGGCCUGCCUCGGCCUCCCAAAGUGCUGGGAUUACAGGCUUAAGCCACCGUGCCCGGCCCUUUUUAUUUUUUUUGAGACAGAGUUUCGCUCUUGUUGCCCAGGCUGGAGUGCAAUGACGCAAUCUUGGCUCACCGCAACCUCCGCCUCCCUGGUUCAAGGAUUAUCCUGCCUCAGCCUCCCAAGUAGCUGGGAUUACAGGUGUGAGCCACUGUGUCUGGCCCACUUUACUGAACUUCACAGAUGAUGAGAGUUUUCUCUUUCUUUUUUUUUUUUAAAACGUAUUGAAGGUUUAUGGCAACCCUGCAUCAAGCAAGUCUGUUAGCACCAUUUUUCCAACAGCAUUUGCUCACUUCAUGUCUCUGUGUCACAUUUUGGUAAUUUUCAUAAUAUAUAAAAAUUUUUCAUUACAGGCUGGGUGUAGUGGCUCACACCUGUAAUCCUAGCACUUUGGGAGGCCAAGGCAGGCGGAUCUCCUGAAGUCAGGAGCUCAAGACCAGCCUAGCCAACAUGGCGAAACCCCAUCUCUACCAAAAAUACAAAAUUAGCUGGGUGUGGUGACACACGCCUGUAAUCCCAGCUACUUGGGAGUCUGAGGCAGGAGAAUCGCUUGAACCCAGAAGGCGGAGGUUGUGGUGAGCCGAGAUCGUGCCAUUGCACUCCAGCCUGGGAGACAAAGCGACAUCUCAAAAAAAAAAAAAAAAAAAAGCUUUUUUAUUAUUAUUGUAUUUGUUAUGGUGAUCUGUGAUUAGUAAUCUUUGAUGUUACUAUUGUAAUGGUUUUGGAGUGCCACAAACAUAAGAUCACGUGACAGUGACCUUAAUAUAUAAAUGUGUGUGUUGUGAUUGUUCUACUGACCAGCCAUUUCCUGUCUCCCUCUUCUUAUGCCUCCCUGUUAAAUUAGACACAACAACAUUGAAAUCAGACCAAUUAAUAACCCUACAGUGGUCUCUGAGAGAGGCUAACAGCUAAUCCUCUUGUGCUAAACAGCCAAAUUGUGAAUGCAAAGGAAAAGUUCUCAAAGGAAAUUAAAAGUGCUACUCCAGUGAACACAUGAAUGAUAAGAAAGUGAAACAGUCCGGGCGUGGUGGGUCACGCCUGUAAUCCCAGCACUUUGGGAGGCUGAGGUGGGUGGAUCACCUGAGGUCAGGAGCUCAAGACCAGCCUAGCCAACAUAGUGAAACCCUGUCUCUACUAAAAAUACAAAAAUUAGCUGAGUGUGGUGGUGCACACUUGUAAUCCCAGACACUCGGGAAGCUAAGGCAAGAGAAUCACUUGAACCCCAGAGGUGAACAUUGCAGUGAGCUGAGAUUGUGCCACUGCACUCCAGCCUGGGUAACAGAGAGAGACUCUGUCUCAAAAAAAAAAAAAAAAAAAAAGUGAAACAGCCUUAUUGAUGCUGAUAGGGAGAAAGUUUUAGUAGUCUGGAUAGAAGAUCAAACCAGCCACAACAUUCUCUUAAGCCAAAGCCUAAUCCAGAGCAGGACCUCAGUUAUCUUCAAUUCUGAGAAGGCUGAGAGAGGUGAGGAAACUACAGAAGAAAAGUUUGAAGCUAGCAGAGGUUGGCUCGUGAAGUUUAAGGAAAGAAGCUGUCUCCAUAACAUAAAAGUGCAAAGCGAAGCAAUAAGUGCUGAUGUAGAAGCUGCAGCAAGUGAUCCAGAAGAUCUAGCUAAGAUCAUUGAUGAAGAUGGCUAUACUAAACAACACAUUUUUGGCCAGGCACUGUGCCUCAUGUCUAAUCCCAGCACUUUGGGAGGCUGAGGUGAGAGCAUUGCUUGAGGCCAGCCUGAGCAACAUAGCAAGGCAAUUUUUUAAUCUCUACAAAAAUAAAAAAAUUAGCCAGGUGUGAUGGCAUGCUCCUGUAGUCCUAGCUACCUGGCAGGCUGAGGUGAGUGGCUUCCUGAGCCCAGGGUUUUGAGGCUGCAGUGAGCUAUGAUCAUGCUACUGCAUUCCAGCCUGGGCAACAGAACAAGACCCUGUCUCCAAAAGAAAGCAAAUCAACAAAAAAUGAGCAAUAAAAAAAGAUUUUCGAUGUAGACAAAACAACCUCACAUUGAAAGAAGAUGUCAUCUGUGACUUUCAUAGCUGGAAGGGACAAGUCAGUGCCUACCUUCAAAGAACAGCCUGAAUCUGUCAGGGGCUAAUGCAGCAGGUGAUUUUAAGUUGAAGCCAAUGCUCGUUUACCAUUCCAAAAAUCCCAGGGCCCUAAAGUAUCAUGGUAAGUCUACUCUGCCCAUGCUCUAUAAAUGGAAUAACGACACCUGGAUGACAGCAUACCUAUUUACAACAUUGUUUACUGAGUAUUUUCAGCCUGUUGUUGAGAUGUACUUUUCAGAAAUAAAGAUUCUUUCAAAAUGUUACUGCUCAUUGACAAUGCACCUGGUCACCCAGGAGUUCUGAUGACAUGUACGGGGAGGGAGAUUAAUGUUACUUUCGUGACUGCUAACAGCAUCCAUUCUGUAGCCCGUGGAUCUAAGAGUCAUUUUUACUUUUUUUUUUUUUUUUUUUUUUUUUGAGACAGAGUCUUGCUCUGCCUUCCAGGCUGGAGUGCAAUGGUGCGAUCUCGGCUCAUUGCAACCUCCGUCUCCCGGGUUCAAGCAAUUCUUCUGCCUCAGCCUCCCAAGUAGCUGGGAUUACAGGCACUGGCUAAUUUUUUGUAUUUUUAGCAGAGAUGGGGUUUCGCUAUGUUGGCCAGCCUGGUCUCAAACUCCUGACCUUAGGUGAUCCACCCGCCUCGGCCUCCCAAAGUGCUGGGAUUACAGGCGUGAGCCACCACACUCACAUGGUGGUUUCUUGAGAUGGAAUGUACUCGGUGAAGAUGCUUGAACAUUAUUGAAAUGACAACAAAGGAUUUUAAAUAUUUCAUAAACUUAGUUGAUAAAGCAACAACAGGGUUUGAGAGGAUUGACUCCAAUUUUGAAAGAAGUUCUACUGUGGGUAAAAUGCUAUCAAACAGCAUCACAUGCUACAGAGAAAUCUUUCAUGAAAGGAAGUCAAUCACUGCAGCAGACAUCACUGUUGUCUUUAAGAAACUGCAGGCCAGGUGCAGUGGCUCACGCCUGUAAUCCUAGCACUUUGGGAGGCCAAGGCGGGUGGAUCAUCUGAGGUCAGGAGUUCGAGACCAGCCUGGCCAACAUGGUGAAACCCUGUGUCUACUAAAUACAAAAAAUUAGCCAGGUGUGGUAGCACAUGCCUGUAAUCCCAGCUACUUGGGAGGCUGAGGCAGAAGAAUCGCUUGAACCUGGGAGGCAGAGGCUGCAGUGAGCUGAGAUUGCACCAUUGCACUCUAGCCUGGGCAACAAGAGUGAAAUUCCAUCUCAAAAAAAAAAAAAAGAAAGAAAGAAAAGAAAAGAAGUUGUGGCCGGGUACAGUGGCUUACACCUGUAAUCCCAGCACUUUCAGCUACUUGGGAGGCUGAGGCAGGAGAAUCGCUUGAACCUGGGAGGCGGAGAUUGCAGUGAGCGGAGAUCACACCAUUACACUCCAGCCUGGGCGACAAGAGCGAGACUCUAUUGCAAAAAAAAAAGAAAAAGAAAAAAGAAAUUGCUCCAGCCACCUUAACCUUCAGCAAUCACUACCCUGAUCAGUCAGCAGCCAUUAACAUCAAGGCAAUAUCCUCCACCAGCAAAAAGAUUAUAACUAGUUGAAGGCUCAGAUGAUCAUUAGCAUUUUUCAGCAAUGAAGUUUUUUUUGUUGUUUGUUUGUUUUGUUGUUUGUCUUGCUUUGUCAUCCAGGCUGGAGUGUAGUGGGCAACAGGGCAAGACUCCAUCCCAAAAAAAAAGAUGUGUCUAGUGUGAAUAAGAAUUUGAAUAUUUUACUUUAUUAGAUUGUAAUUAAUUUACAAUUAAAUAAUACAAAUAUAUACAAAAUUAGCCGGGUAUGGUGGUACAUGCCUGUAGUCCCAGCUACUUGGGAGGCUGAGGUGGGGGAACCACUUGAACCCAGGAGGUGGAGGUUGCAGUGAGCCGAGAUCAUGUCGCUGCACUCCAGCCUGGCAACAGAGUGAGACUCCAUCUCAAAAAAAAAAAAAAAAAAUUAGCCACAUGUAUAUAGUAACUACCAUGUUGCACAGAUACUCAGGUCUUCUAUACAAAGAAGAAAGGAAGGCUCAGUUGUCCUUGGAUAAAAUGAGAACUGGUGAAAAGGCACUUUGAAAGUAAUGAAAACAGCUGGACACAGUGGCUCAUGCCUGUAAUCCCAGCACUUUGGGAAGCUGAGGCAGGAGGAUCACUUGAGCCCAUGAGGUCAAGUCUGCAGUGAGCCAAGAUCGGGUCACUGUACCCCAACCUGGGUGUCAGAGCGAGACCUUGUCUCAAAAAAAAAAAAAAAGUAAUGAAGACAAAGUGUCAAUAAUAACUAAAGAUGAUUAAGGAGAAGGGUUUUUUGUUUGUUUUUUGAGCCAGAGUCUCGCUCUGUCACCCAGGCUGUAGUGCAAUGGUGAGAUCUUGGCUCACUGCAACCUCCACCUCCCGGGUUCAAGCGAUUUUCCUGCCUCAGCCUUCCAUGUUGCCAGGACUACAGGCAUGCACCACCAUGCCUGGCUAAUUUUUGUAUUUUUUAGUAGAGAUGGGGUUUCGCCACGUUGGCCAGGCUGGUCUCAAACUCCUGAUCUCAGGUGAUCCAGCUGCCUCAGCCUCCCAAAGUGCUGGGAUUAUAGGCAUGAGCCACUGCACCUGGCCCUCUCUACUUUUUUAUAUUUAAUACUUUUCUUCCCCCUCUAUCCCUCCCUUCCUGCCAUCCUUUCUUUCUUUUUGUUUCUUUCCUUUCUCUCCCCACCACCCACCCCACUCUCUCUCUCUCUUUCUUCUCUUUUAAUACAGGGUCUCCCUCUGUCCCCCAGGCUAGAGUGCAGUGGUGUGACCAUAGCUCACUGUAGCCUCGAUCUCCUGCACUCAAGCGAUCCUCCUGAGCAGCUGGGGCUACAAAUGUGCAUCACCAUGCCCUAAUUACUAUUAUUAUUGUUAUUUUUGUAGAGCUAGGGGUCUUGCUGUGUUGUCCAGGCUGGUCACAAAUUCCUGGCCUCAGGCUACUGCCUUGGUCUCCCACGGUGCUGGAAUUACAGGCAUAAGGCAUUGUGCCUGGCCAAGAGUUUUUUAAAAUCUAUUUGCAUUACUUUUAUAAUUAGAAUUAAUGUUUAAAAAGUCAAUCUAAAGUAAAAUGGUGAAUUAAGACUCAUAUAAGAUAUAGGAGUAUUCAUUUUUGCCCUUUGCUCACUGGUUUUUAUUUUUAAACACCUUUAUGGAGAUUUAAUUCAGAUUCCGUAAAAUUUACCCUUUUAGGCUGGACGCGAUGGCUCACACCUGUAAUCCCAGCACUUUGGGAAGCCGAGGUGGGCAGAUCACAAGGUCAGGAGUUUGAAACCAGCCUGGCCAACAUGGUGAAACCCCAUCUCUACUAAAAAUACAAAAAUUAGCUGGGUUUGGUGGCACAUACCUGUAAUCCCAGCUACUCAGGAGGUUGAGGCAGGAGAAUUGCUUGAACCCAGGAGACAGAGGUUGCAGUGAGCCGCGAUUGCACCACUGUACUCCAGCCUGAGUGACAGAGCAAGACUUCACCUCGGGAAAGAAAAAGAAAAUUUACACCUUUAAAGUGUACAGUUCAGUGGUUUUUUUUUUUUUUUUUUUAAUUUUUUUCUGUAACCCAGGACAGUGCCAAAGUUCAGUGGUUUUUUUGUUUUUUCUUUGUUUGUUUAUUUGAGACAGAAACUCGCUCUUGUUGCCCAGGCUGGAGUGCAAUGGCGCAGUCUUGGCUCACAGCAACCUCCACCUCCCGGAUUCAAGAGAAUCUCCUGCCUCAGCCUCCAAGUAGCUGGGAUUACAGGCAUGUGCCACCAUGCCCAGCUAAUUUUUGUAUUUUUAGUAGAGAUGGGGUUUCACCAUGUUGGCCAGGCUGGUCUCAAACUCUUGACCUCACGUAAUCCUCCCACCUCGGCCUCCCAAAGUGCUGGGUUUACAAGCGUGAGCCACCGUGCCCAGCCAAGUUCGUGAUUUUUAACACAUUUAUAGAGUUGUGCUACCAUCAUCACACUCUAAUUCCAGAACAUUUUUUAUCAUCCCUAAAGAAACUCAUUGCCCAGGCUGGAGUGCAAUGGAGUGAUCUUGGCUUAUUGCAACCUCUGCUUCCCAGUUCAAGCGAUUAUCAUACCUCAGCCUCCUGAGUAGUUGGGACUAUAGAUGCGUGCCACCAUGCCCAGCUAAUUUUUGUAUUUUUAGUAGAGAUGGCGUUUCCGCAUGUUGGCCAGGCUGGUCUCGAACUCCUGGCCUCAAGUUAUCUGCCCGCCUCAGCCUCCCAAAGUGCUGGGAUUACAGGUGUGAGCCAUCAUGCCCAACCCUGAGAUGGCUUCUGAGGGGCUUGAUAUGGAGGGAGAGGGCCUAAGUAGCUUCAGAAUGAAAAGAACAAGCCAGGAUUAGAGGGUUAGAACUUUCAGCCCCAUCCCCCAAGACCUCAGGGAAGGGAGUGGUGACUGGAGAUUGAGUUUGAUCACCAAAAGGUCAAGCCUUAAUUAUGCUUAUGUGGUGAAAACUCCGGCCAGGCACGGUGGCUCACGCCUGUAGUCCCAGCACUUUGGGAGGCCAAGACAACGGAUCACCUGAGGUCAGGAGUUCGAGACCAGCCUGGCCAACGUGGUGAAACCCCAUCUCUACUAAAAAUACAAAAAUUAGCCGGGUGUGGUGGCAGGCGCCUGUAAUCCCAGCUAGUUGGGAGGCUGAGGCAGGAGAAUCGCUUGAACCCGGGAAGCAGAGGUUGCAGUGAGCUGAGAUCUUGUCCCCCAGACUGGGGGACAAGAGUGAGACUUCGCUCAAAAAAAAAGAGAAAAGAAAACUCCAUGAAACCCCCUAAAUAAUAGGGUAUGGAAAGCUUCAUAGUUGGUGAAAAAAUUGGUGUUAGGAGGGUGCCAACCAGGAGAAGGCAUGGAAACUCUAUAUCUUCCUCCACCUUCUACCCCCACCCAGGGCAUACUUUUCUCGGUGCAUCUCUUCCACUUAGCUGUUCCUGAGUUGUAUCCUUUACGAUGCAUUGCUAAAUGUAAGUAAAGUGUUUUCCUAUAUUCUGUGAAUUAUUCUAACGAAUUAUUAAACCUGAGGGAGAUUGGCGGGUAUUCUCGAAUUUACAACUGUUCGGUGGCAAACCUGGCACUUAAAAUGGGAGCAAUUUUAGGGAACUGAGCCAAGAGAAUUGAAUUUAAUUGUUUGACACCCAAUUCCUGUUAGAGAAUUGGAGAAUUGGUGUUUGGUGUCAGAAAAAAACCUUACAGAAUAGUUAUGUAUGGUAUAGUACAACCUUGACAUAAUUAACUUCAUCUUAGAAAAAGACUCCAUUUUAUAUUUAUUUAUUUAUUUUUAUUUUUAUUUAUUUAUAUUUUUUGAGACAGAGUCUCGCUCUGUCGCCCAGGCUGAAGUGCAAUGGCGUGAUCUCAGCUCACUGCAACCUCCACCUCUCAGGUUCAAGCAGUUCUCCUGCCUUAGCCUCUUGAGUAGCUGGGAUUACAGCAUGCCACCAUGCCUGGCUAAUUUUUGUAUUUUUAGUAGAGAUGGGGUUUCACCAUGUUGAUCAGGCGGUUUCAAACUCCUGACCUUGUGAUCUGCCCGCCUGGACCUCCCAAGGUCCUGGGAUUACAGGCAUGAGCCACUGUACCUGGCCAUUUAUUUUUAUUUAUUUUUUUGAGAUGGAGUUUCACUCUUGUCACCCAGGCUGGAGUGCAAUAGUGUGAUCUUGGCUCACUGCAAUCUCCACCUCCUGGGUUCAAGCAAUUCUCCUGUCUUAGCCUGUUGAGUAGCUGGGAUUACAGCGCACCACCAUGCCUGGCUAAUUUUUGUAUUUUUAGUAGAGAUGGGGUUUCACCAUGUUGGUCAGGCUGGUCUCAAACUGCUGACCUCGUGAUCUGCCUACCUCGGCCUCCCAAAGGCCUGGGAUUACAGGCGUGAGCCACUGCACCUGGCCAUUUUUUUUUUUUUUUUUUUUUUUUUGAGACAGAGUUUCACUCUUGUCACCCAGGCUGGAGUGCAAUGGCGCGAUCUCGGCUCUCUGCAACCUCCGCCUCCCGGGUUCAAGCAAUUCUCCUGCCUCAGCCUCCUGAGUAGCUGGGAUUAUAGGUGCCCGCCACGACGGCUGGCUAAUUUUUUUUUUUUUUUUUUGUAUUUUUAGUAGAGAUGGGGUUUCACCAUGUUGGCCUGGCUGGUCUCAAACUCCUGACCUCAGGUGAUCCACCUGCCUCAGCCUCCCAAAAUGCUGGGAUUAUAGGCAUGAGCCACCGCGCCCAGUCUCCAUUUUAUAUUUCAUAGGGAACUUUGUCAACAAGUAUAAGAUGCUUUGCUUAAUAAACAAAGUUUUUUAAAAGAUGCAUCCAACCAGUUAAGGACACAAGCAUGCUCUUCCACUAUCAGUUCUCACUAGAGGAUUCUGUGACUAUAAAAGAUGAGGCCAGCCGGGCGCGGUGGCUCACGCCUGUAAUCCCAGCACUUUGGGAGGCCAAGGCGGGCGGAUCACCUGAGGUCAGUAGUUUGAGACCAGCCUGGCCAACAUGGUGAAACCCUGUCUCUACUAAAAAUACAAAAAAUUAGGCGGGCGUGGUGGCAAGUGCCUGUAAUCCCAGCUACUCGGGAAGCUGAGGCAGGAGAAUCGCUUGAACCAGGGAGGCAGAGGUUGCAGUGAGCUGAGAUUGCACCACUGCACUCCAGCCUGGCAACAGAGCGAGACUCCGUCUCAAAAAAAAAAAAAAAAAAUGAGGCCAGCUGGGUGCGGUGGCUCACGCCUGUAAUCCCAGCACUUUGGGAGGCCAAGGCGGGCGGACCACCUGAGGUUAGGAGUUCAAGACCAGCCUGGCCAACAUGGUGAAACCCUGUCUCUACUCAAAAUCCAAAAAAUUAGCCAGGCGUGGUGGCGGGCGCCAGUAAUCCCAGCAACUUGGGAGGCUGAGGCAGAAGAAUCGCUUGAACCCGGGAGGCAGAGGUUGCAGUGAGCCGAGAUUGCGCCAUUGCACUCCAACCUGGGCAACAAGAGCAAAACUCCGUCUCAAAAAAAAAAGAUGAGGCCUUCAGCAGCUCAAAAUGGUCAUCUUAACUGACACCGUCUUGCAGUCAGUCACUCGUGAUAAGAACUUGCCAUCUGCCUCCGAAGGCUCUGCCACAUCAAAGACUCUUCCUCGCAAGACUGGCAGACCAACUGGCCCAAAACAGAACUCCUUUUCUUCUUUGUUCUGCCUGGACUGGUUCUUUAACCCUUUCUCCUAUCUCUUUCUCCUCUUGAUGUUAAAUGUUACUUUGUCAUGGAAUGUUUAACUUGUAACAUUUAUAUAUUGAUUAAUUAUACUAUUAUGUAUGGUUUACAAUAUUGACUGGCUUGCGUGCCCACAGCUCUGACUACUGAGUGAACAGGAAGUACUGUUAGCUGUGGAAGGUAUACAGAUCAUCAGCAGUAAAUCCAUACAGGCCUGAAGCAACCUCAAUUCUUGCCUCCUCAGAAGAAAGAAUUCCACUGAGGGGCAUAAGGCAGAAGGAGAAACCGAGGCAAGUUUUAAAGCAGGAGUAAAAGUUUAUUAAAAAGCUUUACACCAGGAACAAAAGGAAGGAAAGAACACUUGGAAGAGACCCAAGUGGGCAACUUGAAGGAGAAGUGCCCCAUUUCACCUUGGACCUAGGAUUAUUUAUUUAUUUAUUUAAUGAGACAGGGUCUCACUCUGUCGCUCAGACUGGACUGCAGUGGAGUGAUCUCAGCUCACUGCAACCUCUGCCUCCCAGGCUCCAGCGAUUCUCCUGCCUCAGCGUCGCGAGUAGCUGGGAUUACAGGGCGCACACUACUACCACCCAGCUAAUUUUUGUAUUUUUAUUUUAUUUAUUUAUUUAUUUUUGAGACAGAGUCUCGCUCUGUUGCCCAGGCUGGAGUGCAAUGGCACGAUCUUGGCUCACUGCAAGCUCUGCCUCUGGGGUUCAUGCCAUUCUCCUGCCUCAGCCUCCCAAGUAGCUGGGAGUACAGGCACCCGCCACCACCCUUGGCUAAUUUUUUUUUGUAUUUUUAGUAGAGAUGAGGUUUCACCGUGUUAGCCAGGAUGGUCUUGAUCUCCUGACCUCAUGAUCCGCCUGCCUCGGCCUUGCAAAGUGCUGGGAUUACAGGUGUGAGCCACUGUGCUCUGGCUCAUUUUUGUAUUUUUUUUUUUUUGAGAUGGAGUCUCGCUCUGUUGCCCAGGCUGGAGUGCAGUGGCGCGAUCUUGGCUCACUGCAAGCUCCGUCUCCCGGGUUCACACCAUUCUCCUGCCUCAGCCUCCUGAGUAGCUGGGACUACAGGCACCUGCCACCACGCCUGGCUAAUUUUUUGUAUUUUUAGUAGAGACCGGGUUUCACCAUGUUAACCAGGAUGGUCUCCAUCUCCUGACCUCGUGAUCCGCCCACCUCAGCCUCCCAAAGUGUUAGGAUUACAGGCGUGAGCCACCGUGCCCAGCCCUAAUUUUUGUAUUUUUAAUAGAGACAGGGCUUCACCAUAUUGGCCGGGCUGGUCUUGAACUCCUGACCUCAAAUGAUCCACCCUCCUUGGCCUCCCAAAGUGCUGGGAUUAUAGGCAUGAGCCACUGGGCCCGGUCCAGACCUUGGAUUUCAUAUGCUGGUCUACUUCUAGUAUUUUGUGCCCCUUUCCCUUCAUUCUUGCCUUAGGGUGAGCUGCCCACAUGCACAGUGGCCUACUAACGCCUGGCAGGUGAGCAUGCGCAGUGUGUUUACUGGAGUUGUAAACAUAUUCACCUGAGGUUUUCUUCCCUUUUCUGGUGGAAUGCCCUGGAAGGUCAUAUGCCUCCAUUUUGCCUCUUAAUGUGCAUGCUCGAGCCCACUCGCCCAGUUCCUUAGAUCUUACGGAAGCUGCUGAUUACCAAUUUCAGGUGUUUAUCUGUUGGGAAACUGCCUCUCCCUGGUACUGGCUGUGACCAAUUAUUUUAGAUAGGUAGUGUGACAACUGCCUGACCAUUGGUCACCUGACAUUCCUGGUGGGUGCAGGGAGCCCUCUCCUGCCCUGCUCUUGCCUGUCUAACUACCUACUGUAACAGUACUAAGGAGAUUGCCCCCUUGGGAACUCCGUGUAGCUCCUGGCUUUUGUGAUUGCAAUAGCAUCAGUAAAAGCCUGACACUGUGGAAAGACACAAACAUGCAAGGACCUGCUUAUCUCUAACCUUGCACCACUCACUGAGGCAGGAGAAUAGGGACUAGAGGCAGGGAACCUAAGGACUUCCUAGAACUAAAUCAAAUGAAAAUGAAAACACUUCAGCUAUGACAAAAAAUAUCCUCCUCAUUUACAUAGGGCGUACACCAAGUAACCAGUGGGAACCUCUAGAGGGGAUGUAAACCCCAGAAAAUUCUUUUUUCUUCCUUUCUUUCUUUUUUUUUUUUUUUUUUUGAGACAGAGUCUCACUCUGACACCCAGGCUGGAGUGCAAUGGUGCGAUCUCAGUUCACUGCACCCUCCGCCUCCUGGGUUCAAGAGAUUCUCCUGCCUCAGCCUCCUGAGUAGCCGGGGUUACAGGCACCCACCACGGGCCAUGCCUGGCUAAUUUUUGUAUUUUUUAGUAGAGACAGGGUUUCUCUGUGUUGGUGAGGCUGGCCUUGAAUUCCCAACCUCAGGUGAUCUGCCCACCUUGGCCUCCCAAAGUGCUGGGAUUACAGGCAUGAGCCACCACACCCUAAACCCAGGAAAAUUCUGUAACUGAGCCCUUGAGCCCCUAUGUUUGGCCUGCUCCCACCCUGUGGAGUGUACUUUCAUUUUCAACAAAUCUCUGCUUUUGUUGCUUCAUUCUUUCCUUACUUUGUACAUUUUGUCCAAAUCUUUGUUUAAGACACCAGGGACCUGGACACCCUCCACUGGUAACAUCAUGACAUGUAUGCAAAAAUUGUCCGCAAAAUUUACAUAUAAACGAUUAGAAUUUAAGAAUUCCCAAAACCCCCUUUAGACAGGGUUUCACCACGUUGGCAAGGCUGGUCUUGAACUCCUGACCUCAGGUGAUCCGUCCACCUUGGCUUCCCAAAGUGCUGGGAUUACAGGUGUGAGCCACCAUACCUGGCAGGGAACUUCAUUAUUUAAAGGAGAAAGAGCAAGCAGGAGGGGGAAAACGGGAGGUAGGGUAGGUAGUGAGGCGAAUUGUUACAUUCUUGUGAGGCUCUGAUUAGCCUCAGUAAAUUGACAUUUUACAUGUGAAAAGGGGAAGUAGAGGAAAUGAGGCUAUGGUACAGGAUUGUGAAAUUACAGCUAUCUGGUAACAAAAGGAAUGCAGUAAUUCAGCUCUCAAGCUUAAUGUCCCUUUGGCAUAGUGAGUUUGGGGUCCCAAGAUUCUAUUUUCUUUCACACUAACACCAACAACAAUAACAACAAAAGAACAAGACAUCUGCAAGAAAAUAGUAUCUUUAUUGAGAGAUAUUAUGAAGAUAUUAUGAUUAAUGUACUGAGAGAUAUAUCACGUAUUAUUUGGAGGUAUCAGAUUACAAAGAUGCUAAUUCUACUUAAAUUGCCCUAUAAAUUAAGUGCACUGGGAAGGUGGAGUAGACAUACUUCCUAAAUUCCUCCCACUAAAUACAACUAAAAACCCUGGACAUUAUAUAUAAAACAAACAUAAGAAGACUGAAAGAAAAGCCGGGCGUGAUGGUUCAUGCCUGUAAUCCCAGCACUUUGAAAGGCUGAGGCAGGUGGAUCUCUUGAGGUCAGUAGUUAAAGACUAGCCUGGCCAAUAUGGUGAAACCCCAUCUCUACUAAAAAUACAAAAUUAGCCAUACAUGGUGGCGUGUGCCUGUAAUUCCAGCUACUCAGGAGGCUGAGGCAGAAUUGCUUGAACCCAGGAGGUGGAGGUUGCAGUGAGCCAAGAUCGCACCACUACACUCCAGCCUGGGCAAAAGAGUGAGACUCUGUCUCAAAAAGAAAAAAAAAAAAAGACUGAAAGAUGGAGAGAAGGCAGCAGACAAGCUAGGGAUCUUGGGGGUCCAAGGAACAACAUAGUGAUGAGUUUCCUGGGUUUUCUUCCUACCUUACAUCUCGAAGCCUUGGAACUGAAGAAGCUGACAAUCCAAAAAUGCCGAAGGGUGAGACAAAAAACGAAAACCUUCUCUCACUAGCCAAAGAACCAGGAAAGGGAAAAUCUAGCAAGACAGCAAACUUUAUAUAACAACUCCUGUACUCCAGCCAAGUGCUACAGAAAGAACUGUGACCCUACCCCUACCUGUAUCACCAAGACUGAGUGGGGAGCCUAGACUUCCACCCUUGCUAGGCUGUAACAAGGUGCUCCAAAGGAUAGUCUUUUCUACAAAUGGUGCUGGGACAACUGGAUAUUCACAUGCAAAGGAAUGUAGUUGGACUCUGCUGUGUGAAUAGUGUCACCCUAUCCAACAUUCAGUGUCCACUUACAACCUCAGAAUGUGGCCCUCUUUAGAAAUAGAAUCUUUGCAAAUGUAGUUAGUUAAGAUGGGGAAUUACUGGAUUAGAGUGGGCCCUAAAUCUAAUGACUGUCCUUAUAAGAAGGCCAUGUGAAGACACAGAAACAUAGUGAGAAUGCCCGGUAGCAACACAGGCAGAAAUUGUAGUGGUGUCUACAAGGUAAGUAAGGAAUGCCAAGGAUUGUCAGCACCAGCAGAAGCUAGAAGAGAGGCAUGGGACAGAUUCUCCCUCAGAGCCUCUGGUAGGAACCAAACUUGCCAACGCCUUGAUUUCAAACUUCUAGCCUACAGAACUAUGAGGCAAUACAUUUCUUUUGUUUUAAGCCACUCAGUUUGUGGUUUAAAAGCAGCUCUGAGAAAUUAAUACAGACUCCUACCUCACACCAUACACAAAAAUUAAAAUGGAUCAAAGACCUAAAUAUAAGAGCUAAAACUAUAAAACUCAGAAGAAGAAAACAGAGAUAAAUCUUUAUUACUUUUGAUUAGGUAAUGCUUUCUUAGAUAUGACACCAAAAGCACAAGCAACAAAAGAAAAAAAAUGGUAAGUCAGACUUUUUUUUUUGAGACGGCGUUUAGCUCUUGUUGCCCAGGCUGGAGUGCAGUGUUGCGAUCUUGGCUCACUGCAACCUUCACCUCCUGCGUUCAAGCAGUUCUCCUGCCUCAGCCUCCCCAGUAGCUGAGAUUACAGGUGUGCCACCGUGCCCAGCUAAUUUUUUUUUUUUUUUCUUGAAACGCAGUCUCGCUUUUUCGCCCAGGCUGGAGUGCAAUGAUGUGAUCGCGGCUCACUGCAACCUCUGCCUCCCGGGUUCAAGUAAUUCUCCUGCCUCAGCCUCCUGAGUAGCUGGGAUUACAGGUGGCCACCACCAUGCCACAAGGCCCAGCCUAACUUUUUAUUUAUUUUACUGUUCUUUUUCUUACCUCUUAAAUGAGUAUUAGUUCUUUUUUAUGUAUAUUUUUUCCUAUUCAUUGUCAAUAUUCAAUAUAAACUUAAUUCUUUAAUGUCUAGCCUUUCCAUAUUCCUUUUUUUUUUUUUUUUUUUGAGUUGGAGUUUCGCUCUGUUGCCCAGGCUGGAGCGCAGUGGCGUGAUCUCAGUUCACUGCAAGCUCCGCCUCCCGGGUUCACGCCAUUCUCCUGCCUCAGCCUCCCAAGUAGCUGGGACUACAGGUGCCCGCCACCACGCCUUGCUAAUUUUGUUUUUGUAUUUUCAGUACAGAUGGAGUUUCACCUUGUUAGCCAAGAUGGUCUCGAUCUCCUGACCUUAUGAUCCCCCUGCCACAGCCUCCCAAAGUGCUGGGAUUACAGGCGUGAGCCACCACGCCCAGCCAGCCUUUCCGUAUUCUACUUUUUUAUUUGUUUGUUUUUUAGAGACACUGUCUCAAUCUGUGGCCCAGGCUGGAUUGCAAUGGGGCAAACAAAGCUCACUACAGCCUCAAAUUCCUGGGUUCAAGUGAUCCUCUCACCUGAGCCUCCUCAGUACCUGGGACUACAAGUGUGUGCCACCACACCAAGCGAAUUAGUUUUUGUAGAGUUAGAGUCUCCCUAUGUUGCCCAGGCUGGUCUCUAACUCCUGCACUCAACUGAUCAUCCUCCCUCUGCCUCCCUAAGUGCUGGGAUUAUAGAUGUGAGCCACCUUGCCCAGUCUGUGAGGUUUAGUUGGAGCCUCAACUUUUUGAUGAGGCAGGCCUCUUAUUAUAUUUAUAACUUGGGGUGGGCCCUGGACUUUACCUAGCACCUAGGCUGGGCGUGGUGGCUCACAUCUGUCAUCCCAGCACCUUAGGAGGCCGAGGCAGGAGGAUCGCUUAAACCCAAGAGUUCGAGACCAGCCUGGGCAUCAAAACGAGAACCUGUCUUUACAAAAAAAAAUUUUUAAAUUAGCCAGUCAUGAUGGUGCUCAGCUACUUGGGAGGUUGAGGCAGAAGGGUCACUUUAACACAGGAGGUCAAGUCUGUAGUAAGCUGUGAUCGUGCCACUGCACUCCAGCCUGGGUGAAAGAGUGAGACCCUGUCUCAAAAUAAAUAAACAAACAAACAAAUAAAAUACUCCAGCACCUAUAAGGUUGUAGAGAAAAUGGCAUUAGUGUUCCACUCCCUUCUGGUUUAAAGGUUCCUUACUAUCUUGUCACCUUUUUAAUGCUUUUAAGAAAAUUAUUUUAUCUAGCAAUUUUAAUUUUUAUUGGAAGGCAUAUCAAGAUAUCUGGCCCACCAUAUUAUUCAAAACCCAGAAUUCUGUCAUUUUUUAAAAACAGAUGAUGGUAAGCAUCAAGUUACUGUGUGUUUAGAUUACAUUAGAUGUAACAGAAUGGUGUAAGUUUUACUGUAAAACAUCAAUAUUUACAACAUGCUUCUUUUGGGGGACGGGGGAGAUAGGGUCUUGCUCUGUUGCCCAGGCUUAAGUGCAGUAAUUCAAUCAUGGCUCACUUCAGUCUUGACCUUCUGGGCUUAAGCAAUCCUCCUACCUCAGUCUCCUGAGUAACUGGGACUACAGAUGCAUGCCACCAUGCCCAGCUAAUUUUAAAUUUUUUUGUAGAUACGGGGUCUUGCUGUGUUGCCCAGGCUGGUCUCAAACUCCUGGGCUCAAGUAAUCCUACCACCUUGACCUCACAAAGUGCUGGGAUUACAGGUGGGAGCCACCAUGCCUGGCCACAAUAUGCUUAAAAUUACAUUAUUUUACACUACGUAUGUAUAUAUCUCCACACAUAUACAUAUAUGUGUGUGUAUAUAUAUAUAUACACACAUAUAUAUCCUGGGCUCAAGAGGUCCUCCCACCUCAGCCUCCUGAGUAGCUGGGAAGACAGGCAAAGCUACUUGUUUUCUUACAUUUUGUAGAGAUGUAGUCUCAGCUGGUCUUCAACUCCUGGCCUCAAGUGAUCCUCCUGCCUCAGCUUUUACCGUAUUUAAACUUAACUUGAAGAAUUUUAGAUAUCAACUUAAAAAUGACUGGAGUUACAUAGUUUAAUUUCUUUUUUUUAGGUGAUAAGCAAAAAUGUAAAGAACACUGAUACAGAGAAAUGGUCACAUAGCCCGGACAUGGUGGCUCAUGCCUGUAAUCCCAGCACUUUGGGAGGCCAAGGCAAGUGAAUCACUUGUGGUCAGGAGUUUGAGACCAGCUUGGCCAACAUGGUGAAAACCUGUUUCUACUAAAAGUACAAAAAUUAGCCAGGCAUGGUGGCAGGCACCUACAGGUGCCAGCUACUCAGGAGGCUGAGGCAGGAGAAUUGCUUUAACCCGGGAGGCAGAGGCUGCAGUGAGCCGAGGUUGAGCCACUGUACUCCAGCUUGGGCCACAGAGUGAGACUCCAUCUAAAAAAAAAAAAAAAAAAAGAGAUAUGGUCACAUAAUCCAAUUUCAUAAGAAAAUAUGUACACUCAGCUGGGCGCAGUGGCUCACACCUGUAAUCCCAGCACUAUGGGAGGCCGAGGUGGGUGGAUCACGAGGUCAGGAGAUCGAGACCAUCCUGGCUAACACAGCGAAACCCCGUCUCUAUUAAAAAUACAAAAAAAAUAGCCAGGCGUGUUGGCGGACGCCUGUAGUCCCAACUACUCGGGAGGCUGAGGCAGGAGAAUGGCAUGAACCCGGAAGGCAGAGCUUGCAGUGAGCCGAGAUGGCGCCACUGCACUCCAGCCUGGGCGACAGAGCAAAACUCAAUCUCAAAAAAAAAAAAAAGAAAAGAUGUACAAUCAUCUAGUCUCAUGACUUUAAAUAUCUAUAUACUGGUAGCUCCCAAAUUUGUAUCUUCUACCCAGGCCUAUUUUCUGAAACACAUAUCCACAUGCCUACUCUACAUCUCUGAUUGGAUGCCUAAUAGGCAUCCUAAAUUUAUCAUGUCCAAAACAGAACUCUUGAAUUCUACUCCACUCCAGUCCACACACUCACAUACAGACCACUCCUUUCUUCUCCCAGGAUUCUCCAUCUGAGUAAAUGUUACCUUUAUUCACCCAGUUGCUUAGCCCAAAGACCUCUGAGUUAUCCUUGACUUCUCUCUCUCACUCUCCUGCUCUAAUAUUUAUCAUCUAACGCAUCAGCAAAUCUUGUCAGCUCUACUUAACAAAACAUAACCUGAAUGUCUGCCAUCUUUCUCUCAGACACUAAAAUAAUCUACUUCUUACUGCUUUCCUUGUUCUAUUCUUGCUGUCUCUUUUUAAAAGUGAUCCUUUUUUUUUUUUUUUGAGACCGGAGUUUCACUCUUGAUGCCCAGGUUGGAGUACAAUGGCGUGAUCUCCAGCUCACUGCAACCUCUGCCUCCCGGGUUCAAGCGAUUCUCCUGCCUCAGCCUCCUGAGUAACUGGGAUUACAGGCGCAUGCCACCACGCCUGGCUUAUUUUUGUAUAUAUUUUUAGUUUUAUUUUUUUUUUUUUGAGAUGAAGUCUCACUCUGUUGCCCAAGCUGGAGUGCAGUGGCACAGUCUCGGCUCACUGCAACCUAUACCUCCCGGGUUCAAGUGAUUCUUCUGCCUCAGCCUCCCGAGUAGCUGGGACUACAGGUGCGCACCACCAUGCCCAGCUAAUUUUUGUAUUUUUAGUAGAGACAGGGUUUCACUAUGUUGACCAGGCUUGUCUUGAACUCCUGACCUUGUGAUCUGCCCACCUCGGCCUCCCAAAGUGCUGGGAAUACAGGUGUGAGCCACUGCACCCAGCCUAUUUUUGUAUUUUUAAUAGAGAUGAGGUUUCACCAUAUUGUCCAGACUGGUCUCGAGCUCCUGACCUCAGGUGAUCUGCCCGCCUUGGCCUCCCAAAGUGCUGGGAUUACAGGCGUGAGCCACCACGCCCAGCCUAGAAGUAAAUCUUAAUGACGCUAAGUUAGGCAAAGGCUUCUUAGGUAUGACACCAAAAGCAUAAGUAACAAAAGAAAAAAUAGAUACAUUUGACCUCAUCACAAUUAAAAACUUCUUUGCUUCAAAAGACACACUAUCAAGAAAGUAAAAAGACAACCCACAAAAUGAAGAAAAUAUUUGCAAAUCAUAUAUCUGUAGUGUUAUAUAUUGGUUUUCAUCUAUGGUUCUUGGCUCAUAACUUCCAUAUCCCUCUUUACAGUCUUUUGUUAGAAUGUUGGGUGUGUUGAGCCUCAGGGCAGGCAUCUGAUGUUCUCCUGCCCUCUGUUCAUGCUAAUCUUCCCCGACCUUUUUUUCUUUCUUUCUUUUUUAUUUUAAGAUAGGUUCUCACUCUGUCAUCCAGGCUGGAGUGCAGUGUUGUGAUCUCGGCUCACUGCAACCUCUGGCUCCUGGAUUCAAGCAAUUCUCCUGCCUUAGCCUCCCGAGUAGCUGGGAUUACAGGCACGCGCCACCACGCCUGGCUAAUUUUGUAUGUGUUUUUUUAAUUAGAGAUGGGGGUUUCACUGUGUUGGCCAGGCUGGUCUCGAACUCCUGGCCUCAGGUGAUCUGCCCACCUCAGUCUCCCAAAGUGUUGGGAUUACAGGCGUGAGCCACCAGGUCCAGCCUAAUCUUUCCCGACCUUUCUGAUUGUAGGUCUUAAUACCCUCCCAUGAGAGUGUCCCACCCUAUAACCUGGGAGAAGGAAUGCUGAUGUCUUUAAGCUUCUGUAAAAACCCAAGAUGACAGGGCUCAGUGAGCUUCCAGACAGCUGAACACAUGGAGGUUACUGGAGGGUGGUGCGCCCAGGGAGGGGAUGGAAGCUCCACACCCCUUCCCCCAUACCUCACCCUACCUAUUCUUUUUAUCGGUAUCCUUUGCAAUAUCUUUUAUAAUAAACUGGUGAAUGUGUCUCCCUGAGUGUUGUGAGCUGCUCCAGCAAACUAAUCGAACCCAAAGAAGGGGUCAUGGGAGCGUCAACUUGAAACCAGUCGGUCAGAAGUCCCGGGGGCUGAACUUGUGACUGGUGUGUGUGGGGUUAGAGUCGGGGGCUGGGGCAGUCUUGGGGACUGAACCCUCAACCUGUGGGAUCUGACACUAUCUCUGAGUGAUAAUAUAGGAACUGAAUUAGAGGACACCCAGCUGGUAUCUGCUACUUGGUGUGUGGAGAAAUCCUCCACACAUUUGGUCACAGAAGUUGUCUUCUGUUUGAUGAUUGUU
This 21738-nucleotide long non-coding RNA is filed under the name Homo sapiens (human). Its description in RNAcentral is "non-protein coding lnc-TUBA1C-1:15". The record is from RNAcentral. Lineage: Eukaryota; Metazoa; Chordata; Mammalia; Primates; Hominidae.